AUCCCUUCUUGGCCUUUUGGCUAAGAUCAAGUGUAGUAUCUGUUCUUAUCAGUUUAAUAUCUGAUACAUCCUCUAUCCGAGGGCAAUAGAUUAAAUGGAUUUUUGGAAUUAGAUGGAAUAGGAGCUUGCUCUGUUCACUCCAUGCAUCGUCCUGGUAUUGCAGUAUUUCCAGGAAUAGUGCACCCCCU
Small nuclear RNA from Pteropus vampyrus (large flying fox), 188 nucleotides. Its record names the gene U2. It matches the Rfam family "U2 spliceosomal RNA". From Rfam's summary of the family: U2 is a small nuclear RNA (snRNA) component of the spliceosome (involved in pre-mRNA splicing). Complementary binding between U2 snRNA (in an area lying towards the 5' end but 3' to hairpin I) and the branchpoint sequence (BPS) of the intron results the bulging out of an unpaired adenosine, on the BPS, which initiates a nucleophilic attack at the intronic 5' splice site, thus starting the first of two transesterification reactions that mediate splicing. NCBI's taxonomy places the organism in Eukaryota, Metazoa, Chordata, Mammalia, Chiroptera, Pteropodidae. The record is from Ensembl.